CGGCUGAUGGACCAUGAUCCGCGAGUUCGGCAGCGAGAAGCGCAUGUCCUUGUGACCGGCUGCGAGCAGCAGCGAACCCAUCGACGCCGCCUGCCCCGUGCAGAGCGUGGAGACCGGCGGGGGGGGGGGGGNNNNNNNNNCGCCAGACCCGAUGUCACCACGCCGCCCGGCGAGUUUAUGUACAUCGAGAUUUCCUUCUUCGGAUUCUCGGCUUCCAGGAACAGGAGCUGCGCGACGACCAGCACC
Molecule: unclassified non-coding RNA, 246 nt
Filed under: Hevea brasiliensis (rubber tree)
Lineage: Eukaryota; Viridiplantae; Streptophyta; Magnoliopsida; Malpighiales; Euphorbiaceae
Source: RNAcentral